This 796-nucleotide long non-coding RNA is filed under the name Homo sapiens (human). RNAcentral's name for it is "HSALNT0140175". Lineage: Eukaryota; Metazoa; Chordata; Mammalia; Primates; Hominidae. The record is from RNAcentral.
GGCACAGACUAAUUCAGGAUCAUCUAUUUCCAAAGCCUGGGCCUCACAUGACCACUACACCUAACUUCUUUGAGAUGCUGUAGAAGAACCUCUUCUGCAAGACCAUUCAUUCAUGCCUUGAGACAGUAUGAAUCAAGCUGACUUUUUUUUUUUCCAAGGAGUUUUUAAAGACCAUCAAGCUUCAGACCAUCAUGCAGCAAGGGCUCUAGCCAGUUCCAGGUGAAGACCCCACCCCGGGCCAUCAAGGAGCUUCCCUGCCUCCACUAGACAGAGCAGAGUGAGAGUUCCAUGAUCCCCAAUAGGUAGGGGCUAUGCCUCAAGCCAGCAUGAAGCAGUUACAGAAAAAAAGACCAUCAGUUCCUCUGCCUCCCAUGGGGAUCACAUCUUUCAGCAGGGAGAUGAGGCAUAAAAACAAGGUCUGGAGGCAGGGAAUUCAAGGCCGAUUCACACUUCAGCUAUGACAGGAAAUAUCCUCUCCAUAGGGUAUAGGCCAAGUAAAUGACUUUGUAACUUUACUCCUCAUUUUCAUAGGUUGCACCCCAAGUAAGCAAUGGAAUCCUCUAGAGGGUAUUUCCCCAAAAUUCUGUAAUGGGGUCCUUGAGCCCCUAUGCUCGGGCCCACUCCCACACUGUGGAGUGUACUUUCAUUUUCAAUAAAUCCCUCAUUUCUUCCUUGCUCUGUUUGUGCAUUUUGUCCAAUUCUUUGUUCAAGACGCCAAGAACCUGGACACCCUCCACCGGUGACAAUGGCAGAAGGUGAAGGGGAAGCAAGCACAUCUUACCAUGGCGGAUCAGGA